RNAcentral lists this ribosomal RNA (253 nucleotides) under uncultured bacterium. RNAcentral describes it as "partial 16S ribosomal RNA". It matches the Rfam family "Bacterial small subunit ribosomal RNA", at positions 524 to 776 of the family's 1533-position model. The record is from RNAcentral.
GACGAAGGAUGCAGGCGUUAUCCGGAUUCAUUGGGUUUAAAGGGAGCGUAGGUGGCCUUAUAAGUCAGUGGUGAAAUCUCUCGGCUUAACUGAGAAAUUGCCAUUGAUACUGUAGGGCUUGAGUACAGUUGCUGUGGGCGGAAUAUGACAUGUAGUGGUGAAAUACAUAGAGAUGUCAUAGAACACCGAUUGCGAAGGCAGCUCACAAAACUGUAACUGACACUGAGGCUCGAAAGUGCGGGGAUCAAACAGG